This 502-nucleotide ribosomal RNA is filed under the name Candida albicans. RNAcentral's name for it is "eukaryotic LSU rRNA". The stretch from base 145 to 298 matches the Rfam family "5.8S ribosomal RNA". The record is from RNAcentral. Lineage: Eukaryota; Fungi; Ascomycota; Pichiomycetes; Serinales; Debaryomycetaceae.
GGCACCCGAUUUGCUUACUGCACCACAUGUGUUUUUCUUUGAAACAAACUUGCUUUGGCGGUGGGCCCAGCCUGCCGCCAGAGGUCUAAACUUACAACCAAUUUUUUAUCAACUUGUCACACCAGAUUAUUACUUAAUAGUCAAAACUUUCAACAACGGAUCUCUUGGUUCUCGCAUCGAUGAAGAACGCAGCGAAAUGCGAUACGUAAUAUGAAUUGCAGAUAUUCGUGAAUCAUCGAAUCUUUGAACGCACAUUGCGCCCUCUGGUAUUCCGGAGGGCAUGCCUGUUUGAGCGUCGUUUCUCCCUCAAACCGCUGGGUUUGGUGUUGAGCAAUACGACUUGGGUUUGCUUGAAAGACGGUAGUGGUAAGGCGGGAUCGCUUUGACAAUGGCUUAGGUCUAACCAAAAACAUUGCUUGCGGCGGUAACGUCCACCACGUAUAUCUUCAAACUUUGACCUCAAAUCAGGUAGGACUACCCGCUGAACUUAAGCAUAUCAUAA